UACGUAGGGUGCGAGCGUUGUCCGGAAUUAUUGGGCGUAAAGAGCUUGUAGGCGGUCUGUCGCGUCUGCUGUGAAAAUCUGGGGCUCAACCCCGGACUUGCAGUGGGUACGGGCAGACUAGAGUGAUGUAGGGGAGACUGGAAUUCCUGGUGUAGCGGUGAAAUGCGCAGAUAUCAGGAGGAACACCGAUGGCGAAGGCAGGUCUCUGGGCAUUAACUGACGCUGAGGAGCGAAAGCAUGGGGAGCGAACAGG
RNAcentral lists this ribosomal RNA (253 nucleotides) under uncultured bacterium. Its description in RNAcentral is "partial 16S ribosomal RNA". It matches the Rfam family "Bacterial small subunit ribosomal RNA", at positions 524 to 776 of the family's 1533-position model. The record is from RNAcentral.